This 423-nucleotide long non-coding RNA is filed under the name Sus scrofa (pig). RNAcentral's name for it is "lncRNA (ENSSSCG00035019841.1)". The record is from RNAcentral. Lineage: Eukaryota; Metazoa; Chordata; Mammalia; Artiodactyla; Suidae.
AUGCCUACUUGGUGCUGGUGUCAUUCCCAAAGGGGAGGCCAUCGCUGGUGCACAGGGAGGCUGGGUGGACAGAAUCUUCCUUUUUCUGCCACCCCCCAAAGCCAUCUAGUGAGAGGUGCUGCCAGCUUUGAAGGUUCCCUGCUCUCCCUGGUCCUCUGGUUCUCUUCAGACUCAUCUCGAGAGGAUGGACUGUCCCAGUGGGUCUCCGGUAAGCGCUGCAGUGGCUUCCUUAGCUGCCCUCCCUGGAUACUGGUGCACAUAAGGAUGAGAGGAUGGGUGGAUGCAAGGACAAAGGGACAGGUUUUCCCCAAGCCCUCCUUCCCGGUGAGAUCCUCUCUAAUCACUACAGCAGAACUGCCGCCCUUCCCCCAGCCAAGCAUCCUUCCCCCUCCUGCCCCCACCUCUGCUCUCUUUCCCCCAUAG